UGGGGAAUAUUGCACAAUGGGCGCAAGCCUGAUGCAGCCAUGCCGCGUGUGUGAAGAAGGCCUUCGGGUUGUAAAGCACUUUCAGCGAGGAGGAAGGGUAGUGUGUUAAUAGCACAUUGCAUUGACGUUACUCGCAGAAGAAGCACCGGCUAACUCCGUGCCAGCAGCCGCGGUAAUACGGAGGGUGCAAGCGUUAAUCGGAAUUACUGGGCGUAAAGCGCACGCAGGCGGUUUGUUAAGUCAGAUGUGAAAUCCCCGCGCUUAACGUGGGAACUGCAUU
RNAcentral lists this ribosomal RNA (280 nucleotides) under uncultured bacterium. RNAcentral's name for it is "partial 16S ribosomal RNA". It matches the Rfam family "Bacterial small subunit ribosomal RNA", at positions 355 to 627 of the family's 1533-position model. The record is from RNAcentral.